Non-coding RNA from Acanthosepion pharaonis, 100 nucleotides. The record is from the annotation of a GenBank genome assembly. NCBI's taxonomy places the organism in Eukaryota, Metazoa, Mollusca, Cephalopoda, Sepiida, Sepiidae.
UGUUGAAACAUCAGUUCCCGUACAAUCACCAAAGUUAAGCAACGUUGAGCCUGGUCAGUACCCAGAUGAGUGGCAGCUUGAGAAUAUCAGGAGCUGUAAG